GUCUACGGCCAUACCGCCCUGGGCAUGCCUGAUAUCUAGAGGCUAAGCAGGGUCAGGCCCGGCUGGUACCUGGAUGGGAGUAGUCAGCACAUAGAUAAGUGUAUAUU
Ribosomal RNA from Gorilla gorilla gorilla (western lowland gorilla), 107 nucleotides. NCBI's taxonomy places the organism in Eukaryota, Metazoa, Chordata, Mammalia, Primates, Hominidae. The record is from Ensembl.